UUAGCCCUAAACCUCAGUAGUUAGAACAACAAAACUACUCGCCAGAAUACUACAAGCAAUGGCUUGAAACUCAAAGGACUUGGCGGUGCUUCACACCCCCCUAGAGGAGCCUGUCCCGUAAUCGAUAAACCCCGAUCCACCCUACCCUCUCUUGCUUAGCCUAUAUACCGCCAUCUUCAGCAAACCCUGAUAAAGGCUACAAAGUGAGCGCAAAUGUCCCUUUCACAAAAACGUUAGGUCAAGGUGUAGCCCAUGAGAUGGUAAAAGAUGGGCUACAUUUUCUACUUCAGAAAACCCUACGAUAACUCUUAUGAAAUCUAAGAGCCCAAGGAGGAUUUAGCAGUAAAUUAAGAAUAGAGUGCUUAAUUGAACUAGGCCAUAAAGCACGC
This 389-nucleotide ribosomal RNA is filed under the name Cercopithecus erythrogaster (white-throated guenon). RNAcentral describes it as "partial 12S ribosomal RNA". It matches the Rfam family "Bacterial small subunit ribosomal RNA", at positions 796 to 1384 of the family's 1533-position model. The record is from RNAcentral. Lineage: Eukaryota; Metazoa; Chordata; Mammalia; Primates; Cercopithecidae.